RNAcentral lists this long non-coding RNA (453 nucleotides) under Hordeum vulgare. RNAcentral's name for it is "long non-coding RNA (HVUL_LNC002014)". Lineage: Eukaryota; Viridiplantae; Streptophyta; Magnoliopsida; Poales; Poaceae. The record is from RNAcentral.
CACUAUUCUCCUAAUCUCAGUUGGCUCCCUUGCCUCCUUUUGUGUUGUCGUCUCUAACUCUAUUAUAAACCUUUUAAUGAAUCGUGUGUAGACGAGGGGCUUUGAUAAACCUCUUCGUGUAUCAUUUUUCUCCAUGUCCAUCAUAUGGCCCAUAAGGUGACUGACAACUUAACAAAUGACUCAUGUGAUAAUGAAUCAAUCAUCGCAAACAACCGUUGCUGGGCACUUGGUUCAGUUGUCUCGCAUAAAUGCUCCGCCAUAUCACCAUCAACAAGUGCCCAAACGCACUUCGCCAUAUUGCACUCAAGCAAAGAGUGUCUCGAGGAGUCAGCCGCGCCACAAAGAGCACAAAGUGGUAGUAGUGAACAUAUUCCUAUAAGCCCGUACGUCCUCGGUUGGCAAUGAAUGUUUAGCUAAUCUCCAAAGGAACAUACAUAUUUUUCCUGGUAUUGG